UACGUAGGGUGCAAGCGUUGUCCGGAAUUAUUGGGCGUAAAGAGCUCGUAGGCGGUCUGUCGCGUCUGCUGUGAAAACCUAGGGCUUAACUCUGGGCGUGCAGUGGGUACGGGCAGGCUAGAGUGCGGUAGGGGAGACUGGAAUUCCUGGUGUAGCGGUGAAAUGCGCAGAUAUCAGGAAGAACACCCGUGGCUAAGGCGGCUCUCUAGUACGGUACUGACGCUGAGACGCGAAAGCGUGGGGAGCGAACAGG
RNAcentral lists this ribosomal RNA (253 nucleotides) under uncultured bacterium. Its description in RNAcentral is "partial 16S ribosomal RNA". It matches the Rfam family "Bacterial small subunit ribosomal RNA", at positions 524 to 776 of the family's 1533-position model. The record is from RNAcentral.